Molecule: ribosomal RNA, 1255 nt
Filed under: metagenome
Description: bacterial SSU rRNA
Rfam family: Bacterial small subunit ribosomal RNA
Source: RNAcentral
AGCUAGUUGGUGAGGUAAUGGCUCACCAAGGCAAUGACACCUAACUGGUUUGAGAGGAUGAUCAGUCACACUGGAACUGAGACACGGUCCAGACUCCUACGGGAGGCAGCAGUGGGGAAUAUUGCACAAUGGACGAAAGUCUGAUGCAGCAACGCCGCGUGGAGGAUGACACAUUUCGGUGCGUAAACUCCUUUUAUAUAGGAAGAUAAUGACGGUACUAUAUGAAUAAGCACCGGCUAACUCCGUGCCAGCAGCCGCGGUAAUACGGAGGGUGCAAGCGUUACUCGGAAUUACUGGGCGUAAAGAGCGUGUAGGCGGGUAAAUAAGUUGGAAGUGAAAUCCUAUGGCUCAACCAUAGAACUGCUACCAAAACUGUUAACCUAGAAUGUGGGAGAGGUAGAUGGAAUUUCUGGUGUAGGGGUAAAAUCCGUAGAUAUCAGAAGGAAUACCGAUUGCGAAGGCGAUCUACUGGAACACUAUUGACGCUGAGACGCGAAAGCGUGGGGAGCAAACAGGAUUAGAUACCCUGGUAGUCCACGCCCUAAACGAUGUACACUAGUUGUUGUGAGGCUAGACCUUGCAGUAAUGCAGUUAACACAUUAAGUGUACCGCCUGGGGAGUACGGUCGCAAGAUUAAAACUCAAAGGAAUAGACGGGGACCCGCACAAGCGGUGGAGCAUGUGGUUUAAUUCGAUAUACGCGAAGAACCUUACCUGGUCUUGACAUAGAAAGAACUUUCCAGAGAUGGAUUGGUGCCUGCUUGCAGGAGCUUUCAUACAGGUGCUGCACGGCUGUCGUCAGCUCGUGUCGUGAGAUGUUGGGUUAAGUCCCGCAACGAGCGCAACCCUCGUCGUUAGUUGCUAACAGUUCGGCUGAGAACUCUAACGAGACUGCCUACGCAAGUAGGAGGAAGGUGAGGACGACGUCAAGUCAUCAUGGCCCUUACGACCAGGGCUACACACGUGCUACAAUGGGGUAUACAAGGAGUAGCGAUACGGUGACGUGGAGCGAAUCUCAAAAAUGCCUCCCAGUUCGGAUAGUAGUCUGCAACUCGACUACUUGAAGUUGGAAUCGCUAGUAAUCGUAGAUCAGCUAUGCUACGGUGAAUACGUUCCCGGGUCUUGUACUCACCGCCCGUCACACCAUGGGAGUUGAAUUCAUUCGAAGCGGGGAUGCUAAAAUAGCCACCUUCCACAGUGGAUUUAGCGACUGGGGUGAAGUCGUAACAAGGUAACCGUAGGAGAACCUGCGGUUG